Molecule: small nuclear RNA, 107 nt
Filed under: Tupaia belangeri chinensis (Chinese tree shrew)
Lineage: Eukaryota; Metazoa; Chordata; Mammalia; Scandentia; Tupaiidae
Source: RNAcentral
GUGCUCACUUCAGCAGCACAUAUCCUAAAACUGGAAAGAUACAGAGAAGAUUAGCACAGCCCCUGCACAAGGAUGACAUGCAAAUUCGUGAAGCAUUCCAUAUUUUU